This 262-nucleotide ribosomal RNA is filed under the name uncultured Clostridia bacterium. RNAcentral describes it as "partial 16S ribosomal RNA". It matches the Rfam family "Bacterial small subunit ribosomal RNA", at positions 76 to 339 of the family's 1533-position model. Lineage: Bacteria; Bacillati; Bacillota; Clostridia. The record is from RNAcentral.
CUUGCUGAUUUGCUGACGAGUGGCGGACGGGUGAGUAAUGUCUGGGAAACUGCCUGAUGGAGGGGGAUAACAGUUGGAAACGGCUGCUAAUACCGCAUAAGCGCACAGUACCGCAUGGUACGGUGUGAAAAACUCCGGUGGUGUGAGAUGGGCCCGCGUCUGAUUAGGUAGUUGGUGCGGUAACGGCGCACCAAGCCGACGAUCAGUAGCCGACCUGAGAGGAUGUCCGGCCACAUUGGAACUGAGACACGGUCCAGACUCC